RNAcentral lists this transfer RNA (81 nucleotides) under Gloeobacterales cyanobacterium ES-bin-313. It matches the Rfam family "tRNA". Rfam says of the family: Transfer RNA (tRNA) molecules are approximately 80 nucleotides in length. Their secondary structure includes four short double-helical elements and three loops (D, anti-codon, and T loops). Further hydrogen bonds mediate the characteristic L-shaped molecular structure. tRNAs have two regions of fundamental functional importance: the anti-codon, which is responsible for specific mRNA codon recognition, and the 3' end, to which the tRNAs corresponding amino acid is attached (by aminoacyl-tRNA synthetases). tRNAs cope with the degeneracy of the genetic code in two manners: having more than one tRNA (with a specific anti-codon) for a particular amino acid; and 'wobble' base-pairing, i.e. permitting non-standard base-pairing at the 3rd anti-codon position. Lineage: Bacteria; Bacillati; Cyanobacteriota; Cyanophyceae; Gloeobacterales. The record is from Rfam by way of RNAcentral.
GCGGACAUGGCGGAAUGGUAGACGCGCUAGUCUUAGGAACUAGUAGGGUGACCUGUGUGAGUUCGAGUCUCUCUGUCCGCA